UGGGGAAUAUUGCACAAUGGGCGAAAGCCUGAUGCAGCAACGCCGCGUGAGUGAUGAAGGUCUUCGGAUUGUAAAGCUCUGUCUUUUGGGACGAUAAUGACGGUACCAAAGGAGGAAGCCACGGCUAACUACGUGCCAGCAGCCGCGGUAAUACGUAGGUGGCGAGCGUUGUCCGGAUUUACUGGGCGUAAAGGGUGCGUAGGCGGAUGUUUAAGUGAGAUGUGAAAUACCCGGGCUUAACUUGGGUGCUGCAUUUCAAACUGGAUAUCUAGAGUGCAGGAGAGGAGAAUGGAAUUCCUAGUGUAGCGGUGAAAUGCGUAGAGAUUAGGAAGAACACCAGUGGCGAAGGCGAUUCUCUGGACUGUAACUGACGCUGAGGCACGAAAGCGUGGGUAGCAAACAGGAUUAGAUACCCUGGUAGUCCACGCCGUAAACGAUGAGUACUAGGUGUAGGAGGUAUCGACCCCUUCUGUGCCGCAGUAAACACAUUAAGUACUCCGCCUGGAAAGUACGAUCGCAAGAUUAAAAC
Molecule: ribosomal RNA, 529 nt
Filed under: uncultured bacterium
Lineage: Bacteria
Description: partial 16S ribosomal RNA
Rfam family: Bacterial small subunit ribosomal RNA
Source: RNAcentral